This 210-nucleotide non-coding RNA is filed under the name Clostridium cadaveris. Its description in RNAcentral is "T-box sequence". It matches the Rfam family "T-box leader". Rfam says of the family: Uncharged tRNA acts as the effector for transcription antitermination of genes in the T-box leader family. The record is from RNAcentral. Lineage: Bacteria; Bacillati; Bacillota; Clostridia; Eubacteriales; Clostridiaceae.
UUAAUUUCGAAGAAGAGAAGAGUAGCUGAUAUUUGAUCUUUAAGCGAACAGGAGAUUGGUGUAAGUCCUGUAAGAUGAUGUUAGUGAAGAGAAUCUUGGAGAAGUUCCUAAGGCUUUGAGCUGAGGUGAGCCGUUUGCUGCGUUAAGGCAUUGAGUGGAUAGCAGUUGCUAUCAAUUUGAGUGGUACCGCGGAUAUAGCCCGUCUCUUAU